AGCGCGAGGUAGCAAUACUUGGCGGCGACCGGCAAACGGGUCGCGGUAACACGUACGCAACCUUCCUCAGAGCGGGAAUAGCCUCUCGAAAGAGAGAUUAAAUACCCACUAGUAUCUCGGAUUCACAUGGAUCUGAGAUUAAAGCUCCGGCACUUGAGAUGGGCGUGCGGCUGAUUAGGUAGUUGGUAGGGUAACGGCCUACCAAGCCAACGAUCAGUAGCUGAUGUGAGAGCAUGAUCAGCCACACGGGCACUGAGACACGGGCCCGACUCCUACGGGAGGCAGCAGUGAGGAAUAUUGGUCAAUGGAGGCAACUCUGAACCAGCCAUGCCGCGUGAAGGAUGAAGGUCCUCUGGAUUGUAAACUUCUUUUAUAGAAGAAGAAACCCCAUUUUUCUAAGUGGGUUGACGGUACUCUAUGAAUAAGCACCGGCUAACUCCGUG
RNAcentral lists this ribosomal RNA (443 nucleotides) under uncultured bacterium. RNAcentral describes it as "bacterial SSU rRNA". It matches the Rfam family "Bacterial small subunit ribosomal RNA", at positions 68 to 507 of the family's 1533-position model. The record is from RNAcentral.